GAAGCCUUGGAAGAAGGUAGAAGCUUAAGAAAGAAAAUCUAAACUAGUGGGAAGCUAAUUGAAAGGGAUGAAAGUAAGGCAUGGUCGGAUGAAGGCAAGGAAUGAAGAACUUCAUCUCUAUUGAUCGAAUACCUACCCAAUGGGCUUUGAGGAGGUUGCCUGCAACCUUAACAAGGAUUUUUGGUGACUUCAAAGAGAGCAUUUGGG
RNAcentral lists this long non-coding RNA (207 nucleotides) under Physcomitrium patens. Its description in RNAcentral is "long non-coding RNA (PPAT_LNC000223)". The record is from RNAcentral. Lineage: Eukaryota; Viridiplantae; Streptophyta; Bryopsida; Funariales; Funariaceae.